UGCAGACUGAGGUGGAGCAGUGUGGAUGGAAGAUGACAAAAACUGGAGGCACAGAAUGUGAAGGUGAAGCGUGUCUCCUCGUUUGAGCUGUACUCCAGACAAAUUUUGGGGAUCCAAUCCUGAGGGAUCAAACUUUCGGAACAGAAACCUUUUGCUGUUCUAGCAGGGGAUUAAGAAGCUCAAGGUCCCUUGACGUCCACCAGAUGGGAUAAGGGGAUGGUCCCUGAAGCUGAUGUCACUAUGAUCGAGAGCACAUUAUAGUCAGAUGCCUCUGAACUGGCUAACAAAAGCUAUUUAGAUGUGAGACUGCUCCAUUGUUCCCUCGCUCUAUCUCCCUGCCAUGUUCUUCUUCUCCCACUGUUAAAAACCGGAAGGCAUAUUCAUGAGGGAAGCAUAAUUAACCAGUCAGGGUUUGGAUGACUUCCAGAUGGAUGAGUUAUUAUUGCCAUUAUUGAUACUGGCUGGUAUGAGCCCUGCUAUCUGGGAUUAAUGCUGUUAGAAUUUAGAAGCCCGACACCAUCUUACCACUUAGUCCCAUGAUGAAUAGUGUUAGGCAAAGUCGUUUGCACUGACACUCACUUACUUCCCCUCAUUUUAUGUACUUUGCUUGCCUUAUUAAGGCUCUUACCACUGGCUUAAUUGCCUAUUU
Molecule: long non-coding RNA, 649 nt
Organism: Oreochromis niloticus (Nile tilapia)
Lineage: Eukaryota; Metazoa; Chordata; Actinopteri; Cichliformes; Cichlidae
Exons: 3
Source: RefSeq, a predicted model, not a curated record